This 492-nucleotide ribosomal RNA is filed under the name uncultured bacterium. RNAcentral describes it as "partial 16S ribosomal RNA". It matches the Rfam family "Bacterial small subunit ribosomal RNA", at positions 29 to 507 of the family's 1533-position model. The record is from RNAcentral.
AGUGAACGCUGGCGGUAGGCCUAACACAUGCAAGUCGAACGGCAGCACAGUAAGAGCUUGCUCUUACGGGUGGCGAGUGGCGGACGGGUGAGGCAUACAUCGGAAUCUACUUUUUCGUGGGGGAUAACGUAGGGAAACUUACGCUAAUACCGCAUACGACCUACGGGUGAAAGCAGGGGAUCUUCGGACCUUGCCCGAUUGAAUGAGCCGAUGUCGGAUUAGCUAGUUGGCGGGGUAAAGGCCCACCAAGGCGACGAUCCGUAGCUGGUCUGAGAGGAUGAUCAGCCACACUGGAACUGAGACACGGUCCAGACUCCUACGGGAGGCAGCAGUGGGGAAUAUUGGACAAUGGGCGCAAGCCUGAUCCAGCCAUACCGCGUGAGUGAAGAAGGCCUUCGGGUUGUAAAGCCCUUUUGUUGGGAAAGAAAAGCAGCAGGUUAAUACCCCGCUGUUCUGACGGUACCCAAAGAAUAAGCACCGGCUAACUUCGUG